UCGAGCGGAACGAGUUAUCUGAACCUUCGGGGAACGAUAACGGCGUCGAGCGGCGGACGGGUGAGUAAUGCCUAGGAAAUUGCCCUGGUGUGGGGGAUAACCAUUGGAAACGAUGGCUAAUACCGCAUAAUACCUACGGGUCAAAGAGGGGGACCUUCGGGCCUCUCGCGUCAGGAUAUGCCUAGGUGGGAUUAGCUAGUUGGUGAGGUAAUGGCUCACCAAGGCGACGAUCCCUAGCUGGUCUGAGAGGAUGAUCAGCCACACUGGAACUGAGACACGGUCCAGACUCCUACGGGAGGCAGCAGUGGGGAAUAUUGCACAAUGGGCGCAAGCCUGAUGCAGCCAUGCCGCGUGUGUGAAGAAGGCCUUCGGGUUGUAAAGCACUUUCAGUCGUGAGGAAGGUGGUAGUGUUAAUAGCACUGUCAUUUGACGUUAGCGACAGAAGAAGCACCGGCUAACUCCGUGCCAGCAGCCGCGGUAAUACGGAGGGUGCGAGCGUUAAUCGGAAUUACUGGGCGUAAAGCGCAUGCAGGUGGUUUGUUAAGUCAGAUGUGAAAGCCCGGGGCUCAACCUCGGAAUAGCAUUUGAAACUGGCAGACUAGAGUACUGUAGAGGGGGGUAGAAUUUCAGGUGUAGCGGUGAAAUGCGUAGAGAUCUGAAGGAAUA
RNAcentral lists this ribosomal RNA (666 nucleotides) under uncultured bacterium. RNAcentral describes it as "bacterial SSU rRNA". It matches the Rfam family "Bacterial small subunit ribosomal RNA", at positions 62 to 708 of the family's 1533-position model. The record is from RNAcentral.